AUUCGGACUCAGGAGGAGACAGGUAGACAUGUUAGAAUGCUAACUCAUGAAAUCCGAAGCACUCUUGAUAGACAUACUAUUUUAAAGACUACACUUGUUGAGCUAGGAAGAACAUUGGCAUUGGAAGAGUGUGCAUUAUGGAUGCCAACACGUACUGGACUAGAGCUUCAGCUUUCUUACACUUUACGACACCAAAAUCCAGUUGGAUUAACUGUACCCAUUCAACUUCCUGUAAUCAAUCAAGUUUUCGGUACAAAUCAUGUCGUGAAAAUAUCACCAAAUUCUCCUGUCGCAAGACUUCGACCUGCUGGGAAAUA
Molecule: unclassified non-coding RNA, 317 nt
Filed under: Hevea brasiliensis (rubber tree)
Lineage: Eukaryota; Viridiplantae; Streptophyta; Magnoliopsida; Malpighiales; Euphorbiaceae
Source: RNAcentral